This 1219-nucleotide long non-coding RNA is filed under the name Dromaius novaehollandiae (emu). RNAcentral's name for it is "lncRNA (ENSDNVG00000001014.1)". Lineage: Eukaryota; Metazoa; Chordata; Aves; Casuariiformes; Dromaiidae. The record is from RNAcentral.
GCAAUGUGUACUUUCAAAGAUUUCAGACCAUAUCUUGUCUCUUUCCCAGAGAAUUCUGAUGUAUCCAGAUGGAUCCAAGAUGACCAUAUCAUCCUGAUAUUUCUUGCUGUUAUAGCCUGCAUUCUCAGCCUUUUUGCCAUUGUGUUCCUCUUUUGGUACUGUUCAGGAUUCCAUUCAAAAGAUCCUGAAAGAGGUAAAGUUUGGGCUAGAGCAAAGUAAAGUUUGAUAAUUGUACAUGCCUUUGUUAAUACUUUUUUGGGUGUCUGAGUGUGUGUUCAGUGCAAGUGUUCAAAGAAGUGAGGAGUAAAACUAUAAUUUCACAGCUGCUGUAAAUAAUGAGUUAAACAGUGUAUGAGACAUUUUGCAAGUAUUGCAUAUGGCUGAGACUCAUCCUAUAGAGGUAAGAUUUAAACUGAUACUAUUUUCAUAUUGUUUAAACUAUCUAGGGUGUGUGGUCUGGAACUGGGAUAGGAGAUGAAGAAGAUUAAGCAGCGCAGUCCCCCUUCCAGAUCUUGGAUGCAUCAUCUGUGAUCAUGGCAUCUGCACAGAGCUAGUGUGGGAGGUUUCAAGUCCUCAUUAAAAAAGCUACAGUGGGAUCCAGCUUGACCUAAUUUCACACUGAAAUGGCCGUGCCCCUCCCUGUAAUUAAUCCAGGGACAAAUCCAGUGGCUCUAACACCUAGUUUCACUGCAGACAUWGUGGUAUAUCCUUCCUGGUCUCCAGACCUAUUGUCUUCAGAAGAUAGUAGGUUAUGUGUCAUAUGUGCCAUCUUGGAGGAUGCCUCCAAUACCCUAGUACAUCUCAGUGGUGGUACACUCCACAGCUUGGGCAAGUGAAUCCUGCUCCAAUCAACACAGUCAGUGAAAACUUGAGAGUAAUUCUGCUCAUCUUAGAGGAGACAUUUGCAGCUGGUCACCCAAACAGUGCUUCACACUGUGCUGUCUGUGUUCAUUAGAUCACUUUCAACUGUACUAGGUGCUUAAAUAUCUUUUAUUUUUUUGUGCACCUACAUGUAGACAUCCUAGCUGAGAAUCACAAUUUACCUCAAGAUUACAGUGGUUAAAUUUUGGCAUACACGUACCAGUGUCUAUGUAUGGCUGAGGUGUCUAAACCCCUGUUAUCACCAAUGUUUGGGACUCAUUUGCACAGAUAAGAGUAUGUGAGUGCCAUUUCAGAUAUCCUAAGAUACCCUGCUUGCCUCCCAUGUAGCACCACGUGG